RNAcentral lists this ribosomal RNA (453 nucleotides) under uncultured Porphyromonadaceae bacterium. Its description in RNAcentral is "bacterial SSU rRNA". It matches the Rfam family "Bacterial small subunit ribosomal RNA", at positions 341 to 792 of the family's 1533-position model. The record is from RNAcentral. Lineage: Bacteria; Pseudomonadati; Bacteroidota; Bacteroidia; Bacteroidales; Porphyromonadaceae.
ACGGGAGGCAGCAGUGAGGAAUAUUGGUCAAUGGACGAGAGUCUGAACCAGCCAAGUCGCGUGAAGGAUGAAGGUUCUAUGGAUUGUAAACUUCUUUUAUUCGAGGGUAAAGUGAGAGUUGCGACUCUUAUUGCAAGUAUCGAAUGAAUAAGCAUCGGCUAACUCCGUGCCAGCAGCCGCGGUAAUACGGAGGAUGCGAGCGUUAUCCGGAUUUAUUGGGUUUAAAGGGUGCGUAGGCGGAUUGUUAAGUCAGUGGUUAAAUCGUGUAGCUCAACUAUACUAAGCCGUUGAUACUGGCGAUCUAGAGUGUAAACGAGGUAGGCGGAAUGUGAUGUGUAGCGGUGAAAUGCAUAGAUAUGUCACAGAACCCCGAUUGCGAAGGCAGCUUACCGGCAUACGACUGACGCUGAGGCACGAAAGCGUGGGUAUCAAACAGGAUUAGAUACCCUGGUA